RNAcentral lists this ribosomal RNA (480 nucleotides) under uncultured bacterium. RNAcentral describes it as "bacterial SSU rRNA". It matches the Rfam family "Bacterial small subunit ribosomal RNA", at positions 45 to 518 of the family's 1533-position model. The record is from RNAcentral.
GGCUUAACACAUGCAAGUCGAGGGGCAACGCGAGUAGCAAUACUUGGCGGCGACCGGCGCAAGGGUGCGUAACGCGUGAGCAACAGUGCCCGUAUCAGGGGGAUAAUCCAGGGAAACUUGGUCUAAUACCCCAUAGUAAUUUUGUAAGGCAUCUUAUAAGAUUUAAAGCUUUGGUGGAUACGGAUUGGCUCGCGUGACAUUAGCUGGAUGGUAAGGUAACGGCUUACCAUGGCUAUGAUGUCUAGGGGUUCUGAGAGGAAGGUCCCCCACACUGGAACUGAGACACGGUCCAGACUCCUACGGGAGGCAGCAGUGAGGAAUAUUGGACAAUGGAUGGAAAUCUGAUCCAGCCAUGCCGCGUAGAAGGAAGAAGGUCCUAUGGAUUGUAAACUUCUUUUGUAUGGGAGCAAUAAGGCCUACGAGUAGGCUGAUGAGAGUACCAUACGAAUAAGCACCGGCUAACUCCGUGCCAGCCGCCGC